RNAcentral lists this long non-coding RNA (2190 nucleotides) under Betula platyphylla (Asian white birch). The record is from RNAcentral. Lineage: Eukaryota; Viridiplantae; Streptophyta; Magnoliopsida; Fagales; Betulaceae.
GCAAUCUUGAUAAUGGCAAGUGAGAUCACAUUCCUCAGGAGAUGCAAAAGGAGAGAUCUCUCAGCCUUCCACUUCAGUUACAGACUGCACACCUUCUUAAAAAAGGUUGAAUACGAAUUGUCCCAAAUCAACUUAUAGUUUCCGACCAUACAUGUGCAGAAGUUUCCUUGGUCAGACUCAUAGCGCUGGUAAACUUUUUCCCAUUAUCCCAAGCGAUGUACGAGUUUAUUGAGUCCACAGUCAAAGAAACCUUAUAAGAAUUUUACAUAAGUUUUUGCCAGCUGCAACACUUAUCUCUUUGUGUUCAUCACUUUUCCUUGUUUCUAAUGACACCAGUAGUGUCUGACUGAUAUUAAGAAUGGUGAAUUUGCGAAGACCUCACCCAUAAAUUUGAUGAACCUCUCAAACUCAGUGGUGUAGACAUCAAUAGCUUGUUCCAAGAAAGCAACAUGUUGCCUCUUUAAAUUUCACAAGGUGGUCCAUAACGUUGUCGUUGCUCUUCCAUGGGCCCUUCGUCAUCAUUUAUUUUCCGAAUAAAAUCUAGCAAGACCUGUGGAACUCCAACCAAAUACUUCACAAGGGUGUUUGUAGACACCUGUUGCGGAACCAAGUUGAGCUAACUGUCUCCUCCUUUCCAUUUGUUGUUUUGGAACUCCAACCAAAUACUUCACAAGGGUUUUGUAGACACCUGUUGCGGAACCAAGUUGAGCUAACUGUCUCCUCCUUUCCAUUUGUUGUUUCCACAAUAGAGCAUAUCGAGCGCGUAUACUUCCACCAGAAUUGACCAAAGCAUCAAUCUCCGCUUGCUUAUUCCUCUCGUUGUUGUGUGUUCCCCCCACAAUAGAGCAUAUCGAGCGCGUAUACUUCCACCAGAAUUGACCAAAGCAUCAAUCUCCGCUUGCUUAUUCCUCUCUGAGCGCUCCCGUUGUUGUCUAAUUAGUGUUCCCCGAAAAUCUUGAGGCAUGUAAGUCAUAACUGUAUUAAACACACGGUCAGAAUUCUUGGAUUGGAACAAUUCCAAAAUCUUCAAAGCGUUUUGAAGUUUAUCUUUGAGGUGUCUGAGAACAGUAGCAAGCUCAGCAUCAUCAGGUGUUGACUGCUGCUGAAGCACCACUGCACUGGCCAAUGAGAGGUGACGCCACUGCGUGCGGUACAUCUGAGACGUGGGCCCUCUUCAAUUUCUUUCCAAUGGCAAGAGUCAAGGCCUUUUACGCUACAACAUGAGUGCUGGCAUGGGGCAUCCUCGGAAGAAUAUCUGCCUGGAAAAUCUUGAGGCAUGUAAGUCAUAACUUUAAACACACGGUAUAGGUAUGCAGUGUUGGCGUGCAAAGAAUGUUCUCGAUUCUUCCACAUGUUCUCAUCGAUUUUAUGUGGAGGCUGACGGUCUGCUUCAUCCAACAAUAAUCUUUCAUCUUCAGUGGGAGGAAGAUGGUUGAGCAAAUCGUCAGCCAUCGAGCGAAUCUCGGAGGAAAGGCGAGAAACGUCAUCGGACGGAGGUGCAAAUGGGUACUUGUCGUAAUAAGAAGCCAGAUAACUCCUGGUUAUCGGUACCAGACCGUCGGUAGAAGCCAUUUCUUAUUUCUUAUCUCUUUAAUUUUCACAAUUUGAAUAAGGACUUUUUGCCGGAUCGACCGGAGAGAACGCCUAUCAAUUCCCUCUCACCACAUUCUUUACAUCAACAAGGACUCAAGGAGCACCGAAACAACGGUUUUGGAAGAGGCGUGCGGUACAUCUGAGACGUGGGCCCUCUUCAAUUUCUUUCCAAUGGCAAGAGUCAAGGCCUUUUACGCUACAACAUGAGUGCUGGCAUGGGGCAUCCUCGGAAGAAUAUCUGAUAGGUAUGCAGUGUUGGCGUGCAAAGAACGGAACAUUAUGGGUUCGGAUGAGGGGCGCCCGGAAAAUGUACGGAGUGAAAGUAAUGUUCCCCGAAAAUCUUGAGGCAUGUAAGUCAUAACUGUAUUAAACACACGGUCAGAAUUCUUGGAUGUCUAGUGUUCCCCGAAAAUCUUGAGGCAUGUAAGUCAUAACUGUAUUAAACACACGGUCAGAAUUCUUGGAUUGGAACAAUUCCAAAAUCUUCAAAGCGUUUUGAAGUUUAUCUUUGAGGUGUCUGAGAACAGUAGCAAGCUCAGCAUCAUCAGGUGUUGACUGCUGCUGAAGCACCACUGGCCAAUGAGAGGUGACGCCACU